Molecule: non-coding RNA, 1666 nt
Organism: Vigna umbellata (rice bean)
Lineage: Eukaryota; Viridiplantae; Streptophyta; Magnoliopsida; Fabales; Fabaceae
Source: RefSeq, a predicted model, not a curated record
CUAGAGGUUUAUUUUAAUGAAACCGCCUGCAAAUGUUAAAUAUAUCCCGCUCGCUGAUUUGUGCUUCCUUCAAUUAAGUUCUUCAUUUCACAGGCUUUUCUUGCUGCAUUUGUGUUUCUUCUUCAGUUAAGUUCUUCUUCAUUUCACAAGCUCUUCUUCCUUUCACAGGUCUUUCUUCUUCAUUUCAUUUAUGGAAAUUGAUUGGUAAUUUACCCUACGCCCUUCGUCCUUCGUUACUGAGUGUGCGUCGUUCGCCCCGUGCCUCGUCAUUGUCGCUUGAAUUUCCAGAAAUCGUUGAGUGUGGGCGUCUUCGUUCGUUGCCUGUAAGAACAAAAUCGUUGAGCAAUGCAAGGAGGGAGCGAGGAUCGGAUGUGCCGUCAGCGCUUCCAGGAACUGUAAGCCUACGUGGUGGAAGGCUCUGGCAGGCCUCACACUUCACGAUCUGAAGGAACGGGAGGAGUGCGAAGUGCAGGAUAGGGCGGAUUGUUUCGCCGUGGCUAAGGAGAAAUGUACAGGCUUCGCCAGGGAUAAGUGUUUGGUUCCCUUUAGGGAUGCAAGGAUUUGGGUUGCGAAAGGGGUUUUGAGUUCCAAGGGUGUUGGGAAGUUGAUUUGUUGGGGAUCGGUGCCUGUGAAUGGGAGGAACAUGUGGUUGAUGAAUCAAGGUUUGGGAAAAAAAUGUUUCUAUCAAGAGGAUUCUAUCAAGGUUCAUCAACAGAUACCAAUAUACGGUGAAGUUGAGAAACGAUAUAUUCAUGAUCCAUUACUUCCUUAGGCCACUAUUAUCAUGGGAGCUAGUUUUGUCUAAAAUUUUUGUCCCCCAUGGAAUGGCAUGUAGCACCUAGAAACACCACUGGCUUUUCUUUGUCCUUAUGGAAAAAUGCUUGGAAUGCUUUGGAUGUUGUCGGUGUUGGAGACAUCCUCCGCCGCUACCAUCAACAGCUCCAUGGGAUUGUCACCACUUCAUUGGUUACAGGGAAACAAAUAGAAGUCAAGUCUUUCAAACCAACAGAAAACCAAGAGUAUGUAUACUGUGAGAUCCCUACAUUUUAUUAUAGAUAUCUUUAUUCUUUCACAAGUGAUGUAUAAUCAAUUAGUAAGAAUUUAUUUUAAGCAAUCUUGUAGUAUAGAAAAGUAUUCAAUCAACAACAUGUUGAGCCUAGGGUAAGGAGGGUGGCAUUGAAUCGUGGUGUUGAGUACUUGGAGCAGGACUUUCGUUUAAUUGCUUUUGCAGCAUAUCUUGGAAGUGAAGCAUUUGAUGGAUUUUGUGGACAAGGAGAAUCGAGAAUGACAUUUAAGGUUUGGUUGCAUCAAAGGCCAGAGGUGCAGGCUAUGAAAUGAAGCAUCAGAUUAAGACCAGGGAGUUUUUUCACUGUCCCUAGAAGUAUUUUUCAACCUUUCUAUUUGCAAUAUUACAUUCCCUAAUUUGAAGCAUGAUUUAUUCAAGAAUGUCAAUUAUAUUGUAGGAGGAGUUGAGAGCCACAAGAGUCUCAACAUGGAGACGCUGUGAUGGAAGCCAUUGUCAAGGCAAGAAAUUGUUCUGUUUUGGGGAAAGGCUCCAUUUUGAAAAUGUAUUUCUUUCCUGGUCAGAGAACUUCCAGUCAUAUACAAAUUCAUGGCGCACCUCAUGUUUUCAAGGUUGAUGAAUACCCUGUGUAUUGCAUGGCAA